GGAAAUCUUUCUGUUGUGAAAUUGAUGAAGAAUCUACAAGCAAUCUGGAAAGUGUUCCUGGUGUUUUAUCUUUUCAGCCAGACAAGAGUUAUGACUCAGAUAAUAAAAACUAUGGAGAGCAAGGAAGUAGAAGAUAAGUGCAGAAUGGUGAUAGGUGACUUUUUUCUCUGUCUGCAAAGUGAAGGGGAGUUGGCAAGAUUGUGACUUUUUCUUCAAACAUACAAAUUUACUGAAGUUUGAUGGUGGUAGAAAAUGGUGUAAACGAGUAAGGAGAAAGCAGAAGG
Rosa chinensis is the source of this 284-nucleotide long non-coding RNA. RefSeq lists it as uncharacterized. The record is from RefSeq and is a predicted model, not a curated record. NCBI's taxonomy places the organism in Eukaryota, Viridiplantae, Streptophyta, Magnoliopsida, Rosales, Rosaceae. The transcript has 3 exons.